CAGGACCCUGAGAUCAUGACCUGAGCCGAAGGCAGAGGCUUUAACCCACUGAGCCACCCAGGUGCCCCACAAGUUGAUUUUUUAUAAAAGGAUGUCGUGGAUGCCAUGAUGUGGCGUCCGUGUACCCCUGCAGGACCAGUCAUUUAUUCCCCCAGCGGAGGCCGGGAGUUGUGGCUGCUGAUGACUCACAGUUCUAGUGAAUUCUUCAGAAAUUGGCCUUAGCUUAAAGGAAGCUGCUCUAAGAUGACAAGUCCUCUUCAAGGGCAGCCUUUAUCCUUGAGAGCCCUCAGCACUCUUGACAGGUGUCGUUUGCAAGAACUCUUCCCAGUAAACCGUCUACCUGCAAACCUCCCUCCCAGAAUCUGUUCCCUGGGACUGAACAGGUUCAGGACUGAGAUCAAGGCAGCAGAGGGCUUGAGUGACUUCUGGAAGGAAGCACUGCCUAACUCCAGUUUCUAUUCUAAGAGACGGCCACUUGGAAUAAAAGUUAAAUUUCCCAGCUUCCCUUGCAAGCUCAGGCUGCCUCUUCUCUGUGGUUGUAAGAUGGCUGCCAGCCGCUCCUGGCUUCUAUGUCAUGUCAGCGGCCUCAGCAGAGAGAGCACCACUUUCCUGGAUGAUCCAGCACGAGGUUGGGGUUGUCAGAGGAACAAGAAGACAAGCCACAGCCUGGAGGAGCCCAUUUGCAAAAGCAUACAGUAGUCACCCCUCAUCCACAAGGGAUACGUUCCAAGACUGCCAGUGAAUGCCUAAAGCCACGAGUAGUACCAAACCCUAUAUUUACCAUGUUUUUUCCUAUACCUCCAUGUGAUAAACUUUAAUUUAUAAAUUAGACACAGUCAGGGAUGAUCAAAAAUAACAAUAAUAAAGGGUGAUUAUAGCAACA
Molecule: long non-coding RNA, 883 nt
Filed under: Mustela putorius furo (domestic ferret)
Lineage: Eukaryota; Metazoa; Chordata; Mammalia; Carnivora; Mustelidae
Description: lncRNA (ENSMPUG00000026077.1)
Source: RNAcentral